GAUGAAGAACGCAGCGAAAUGCGAUACUUGGUGUGAAUUGCAGAAUCCCGUGAACCAUCGAGUCUUUGAACGCAAGUUGCGCCCGAAGCCAUUAGGCCGAGGGCACGCCUGCCUGGGUGUCACACGUCGUUGCCCCCCCAUCUACUCCUUCGGGAUUGCGGGGGGCGGAUGAUGGCCUCCCGUGCGCCUCGUCGCGCGGUUGGCAUAAAUGCCAAGUCCUCGGAGACGCACGCCACGACAAUCGGUGGUUGCGAAACCUCGGUUGCCCGUCGUGUGCGGUCGUCGCGCAUCGAGGGCUCGAAAAAAUUGCCGGGCUCCGGCUCGGCUUUCAACGCGACCCCAGGUCAGGCGGGGUUACCCGCUGAAUUUAAGCAUAUCAAUAAGCGGAGGA
This 391-nucleotide unclassified non-coding RNA is filed under the name soil metagenome. RNAcentral describes it as "partial contains 5.8S ribosomal RNA, internal transcribed spacer 2, and large subunit ribosomal RNA". The stretch from base 1 to 122 matches the Rfam family "5.8S ribosomal RNA", at positions 35 to 154 of the family's 154-position model. The record is from RNAcentral.